Molecule: long non-coding RNA, 1094 nt
Filed under: Capra hircus (goat)
Lineage: Eukaryota; Metazoa; Chordata; Mammalia; Artiodactyla; Bovidae
Description: lncRNA (ENSCHIG00010020302.1)
Source: RNAcentral
AUGGGGUCACAGAGUCGGACACGACUGAGCAACUGAACUGAACUGAACUGGGCUUAGAUUUAUGCCUCCGCAGGUGCAGCUCAGAUCAGAAGCCGUCUCUGCUUCCACUCACCCCUUCCAUUACCCUCUCCUGUGUACCAUUUCUACAUGAAACCUGUGAGCUCAAACCCCUCCUCCCACAUUCCAUGUAUCUUUGUGGAGACUUGCUGUUGUAUUAAAACAGGCAGGUGCUUUCAUCAGCAUCAGAACAGGACAUCCAUCCACUAGGACCAUAACAGCAGAGAUUUCCUGAAAAGUUACAAAAUUUCACAGUCACCCUGAAAAUUGCGCGAAACUGUGAGAAAAGAUGGUGGAACCACAGGUGGAUAGUUCUUGGAACUGCUCAAACAGUAAAUAGAAACAUUUAAAAAUACUAGAAACUUACACAACAUUGUUAGUCAACUAUACUCCAAUAUAUUUUUUUAUAAAAUGUCAAAACCCUCCAAAACAAAAUACCGGAAAGGAAGGGACAGAAACCUUUUAAAAUAACUGCUACAAAGCCGUAAAAUGCAAACACAUUCAGUUCAAAAUCUUUUCAUGCUGAAGAAGUGAGAAAAAGGGCUUAAACUGGACAGUUUCCUCUACAAUAGAAAGUACAAUACCCACUUAUUGCUACUGAAUACACUGGCUGUUAUGCAAACAUGUCAUUGAACCUCGUACAAUGAUUUUUCUGUUUUACAAUUAAGCAGUUCUAUACAAUGCCUAAGACUCUGGAGGAACAUUAUUCAGCUGAAUUAUCAUUCCUGGCUCACCAUAAAAAUUGCUAAAAUGUGUAGAACUUGCUUUAGGUUAGGAGACCCCUUUCAGCCUUCUGGUAGCUCUGAGUUAUAUAAGUGAGGUCAACUCUCAAAUGCCCAAAGUCGAUAAUCAGUUUGUGAAUUAUACAGACUCUGGUGGUGGUUUUUUCCCUUCAUCUCAUCCCCAUCUCUUCGCCUUUUUGUUACUUUGUUUCUGCUUGCCAGCUGGACUGUGCUUCAGCGUCUCUAAGAGAGAAUGGGAAGCGGAGUGAAAAAAAACUGAAUAAAACACAACAAACAGCCAUUUCUUUUAAAGCC